RNAcentral lists this ribosomal RNA (497 nucleotides) under uncultured bacterium. Its description in RNAcentral is "partial 16S ribosomal RNA". It matches the Rfam family "Bacterial small subunit ribosomal RNA", at positions 28 to 507 of the family's 1533-position model. The record is from RNAcentral.
GAUGAACGCUGGCGGCGUGCCUAAUACAUGCAAGUCGAGCGAACGGACGAGAAGCUUGCUUCUCUGAUGUUAGCGGCGGACGGGUGAGUAACACGUGGAUAACCUACCUAUAAGACUGGGAUAACUUCGGGAAACCGGAGCUAAUACCGGAUAAUAUUUUGAACCGCAUGGUUCAAAAGUGAAAGACGGUCCUGCUGUCACUUAUAGAUGGAUCCGCGCUGCAUUAGCUAGUUGGUAAGGUAACGGCUUACCAAGGCAACGAUGCAUAGCCGACCUGAGAGGGGGAUGGGCCACACUGGAACGGAGACACGGCCCAGACUCCUACGGGAGGCAGCAGUAGGGAAUCUUCGGCAAUGGGCGAAAGCCUGACGGAGCAACGCCGCGUGAGUGAUGAAGGUCUUCGGAUCGUAAAACUCUGUUAUUAGGGAAGAACAUAUGUGUAAGUAACUGUGCACAUCUUGACGGUACCUAAUCAGAAAGCCACGGCUAACUACGUG